Molecule: small RNA, 438 nt
Filed under: Histoplasma capsulatum
Lineage: Eukaryota; Fungi; Ascomycota; Eurotiomycetes; Onygenales; Ajellomycetaceae
Also listed under: 1 other name
Description: hypothetical RNA
Source: RNAcentral
ACCGACUAAGCACUAUCCUAAUACAGAUUACAAAUUGAUUGAGGAAAGAAAGAGAAAAGAGAUCAGAAGAAAAGAUCAUACAAAGGGGUUCUUAUAGAGAAGGAAUUGGAACAGAAGAAUAUUGGAGGUCACGCAACCGCGGGGCGCGGGGUGGAAGAAUGUUAAGGGUUACACAGAGGAAUCAUUCGGGACUACACAAUCAUGGAGUGGAAUCGGGAGGAAAGAAGUGUUCAUAAGCGCGUGUGAGCACAUGAGCGGGCGAGCGGUAGGGAGUUGAUUGCGUAAGUUAACUACUAACAGAUGCUAACCCAUCACAAUCAGCUUUCUCAUGUGUUUUCUUCAAAAGAAUAAAUCUUUAUAUUCUUUUCAUAUUAUUUUCUUAUAGUGUUGUCAUCUUACUAGUUAUAUUUUUUCAUUGUCAUCAUCCACUAAAGCCCA